Molecule: ribosomal RNA, 668 nt
Filed under: uncultured bacterium
Lineage: Bacteria
Description: bacterial SSU rRNA
Rfam family: Bacterial small subunit ribosomal RNA
Source: RNAcentral
GGACUUUCGGUCCUGAGUACAGUGGCGCACGGGUGAGUAACACGUGACUAACCUACCCUGGAGUGGGGAAUAACUGAGGGAAACCUUAGCUAAUACCGCAUAAUACCUACGGGUCAAAGGAGCAAUUCGCUUCAGGAGGGGGUCGCGGCCGAUUAGUUAGUUGGCGGGGUAAUGGCCCACCAAGACAGUGAUCGGUAUCCGGCCUGAGAGGGCGCACGGACACACUGGAACUGAAACACGGUCCAGACUCCUACGGGAGGCAGCAGUGGGGAAUUUUGCGCAAUGGGGGAAACCCUGACGCAGCAACGCCGCGUGGAGGAUGAAAUCCCUUGGGAUGUAAACUCCUUUCGAUCGGGACGAUUAUGACGGUACCGGAAGAAGAAGCCCCGGCUAACUUCGUGCCAGCAGCCGCGGUAAUACGAGGGGGGCAAGCGUUGUUCGGAAUUAUUGGGCGUAAAGGGAGUGUAGGCGGUUUGGUAAGUUGUGUGUGAAAUCUUCGGGCUCAACCCGAAGUCUGCACACAAAACUGCCGGGCUUGAGGGUGGGAGAGGUGAGUGGAAUUUCCGGUGUAGCGGUGAAAUGCGUAGAUAUCGGAAGGAACACCUGUGGCGAAAGCGGCUCACUGGACCAUUUCUGACGCUGAAACUCGAAAGCUAGGGGAGCAAACA